AUUGAACGCUGGCGGCAUGCCUUACACAUGCAAGUCGAACGGUAACGGGCCUUCGGGUGCCGACGAGUGGCGAACGGGUGAGUAAUGCAUCGGAACGUACCUUUCAGUGGGGGAUAACGUAGCGAAAGUUACGCUAAUACCGCAUAUUCUGUGAGCAGGAAAGCAGGGGAUCGCAAGACCUUGCGCUGAUUGAGCGGCCGAUGUCAGAUUAGCUAGUUGGUGAGGUAAAGGCUCACCAAGGCGACGAUCUGUAGCGGGUCUGAGAGGAUGAUCCGCCACACUGGAACUGAGACACGGUCCAGACUCCUACGGGAGGCAGCAGUGGGGAAUUUUGGACAAUGGGGGGCAACCCUGAUCCAGCCAUGCCGCGUGAGUGAAGAA
RNAcentral lists this ribosomal RNA (381 nucleotides) under uncultured bacterium. Its description in RNAcentral is "bacterial SSU rRNA". It matches the Rfam family "Bacterial small subunit ribosomal RNA", at positions 30 to 412 of the family's 1533-position model. The record is from RNAcentral.